AUGAACGCUGGCGGUGUGCCUCAUACAUGCCAGUCGAGCGCACGGACGAGAAGCUUGCUUCUCUGAUGUUAGCGGCGGACGGGUGAGUAACACGUGGAUAACCUACCUAUAAGACUGGGAUAACUUCGGGAAACCGGAGCUAAUACCGGAUAAUAUUUUGAACCGCAUGGUUCAAAAGUGAAAGACGGUCUUGCUGUCACUUAUAGAUGGAUCCGCGCUGCAUUAGCUAGUUGGUAAGGUAACGGCUUACCAAGGCAACGAUGCAUAGCCGACCUGAGAGGGUGAUCGGCCACACUGGAACUGAGACACGGUCCAGACUCCUACGGGAGGCAGCAGUAGGGAAUCUUCCGCAAUGGGCGAAAGCCUGACGGAGCAACGCCGCGUGAGUGAUGAAGGUCUUCGGAUCGUAAAACUCUGUUAUUAGGGAAGAACAUAUGUGUAAGUAACUGUGCACAUCUUGACGGUACCUAAUCAGAAAGCCACGGCUAACUACGUG
This 496-nucleotide ribosomal RNA is filed under the name uncultured bacterium. RNAcentral describes it as "partial 16S ribosomal RNA". It matches the Rfam family "Bacterial small subunit ribosomal RNA", at positions 29 to 507 of the family's 1533-position model. The record is from RNAcentral.